This 1245-nucleotide ribosomal RNA is filed under the name metagenome. Its description in RNAcentral is "bacterial LSU rRNA". It matches the Rfam family "Bacterial large subunit ribosomal RNA", at positions 1564 to 2818 of the family's 2925-position model. The record is from RNAcentral.
UGAAUACGAGACGCUAAGGCGUCGAAGUAGUGUAUGUCAUACUUCCAAGAAAAGCUUGCACUGUCAUAGAUAGAAAACGCCUGUACCAUAACCGACACAGGUGGGUAGGUAGAGUAUACUAAGGGGCGCGAGAUAACUCUCUCUAAGGAACUCGGCAAAAUAACUCCGUAACUUCGGGAGAAGGAGUGCCUUAUUCGUAAGGUUGCAAUAACAAGAUCCAAGCAACUGUUUAUCAAAAACACAGGUCUCCGCUAAGUCGUAAGACGAUGUAUGGGGGCUGACGCCUGCCCAGUGCCAGAAGGUUAAAGAAGUUGGUUAGCAAUUGCGAAGCUGAUAACUGAAGCCCUGGUGAACGGCGGCCGUAACGAUAACGGUCCUAAGGUAGCGAAAUUCCUUGUCGGGUAAGUUCCGACCCGCACGAAAGGCGUAAUGAUUUGGAUACUGUCUCGGAGAGGGGCUCGGUGAAAUAGACUUGUCUGUGAAGAUGCGGACUACCUGCACCAGGACAGAAAGACCCUAUGAAGCUUUACUGUAACUUGAAAUUGAAAUUGGACUUUAUUCGCGCAGUAUAGGUGGGAGGCGUUGAUUAUAAUCUUGUGGGAUUAUUGGAGCCAUCAGUGAGAUACCACUCUUGUAAUGUUAGAUUUCUAACUUUGAAUCAUUAUCUGGUCAAAGAACAGUUUCAGGCGGGCAGUUUGACUGGGGCGGUCGCCUCCUAAACGGUAACGGAGGCGUACAAAGGUUUCCUCUGAACGGUUAGAAAUCGUAUCUAGAGUGUAAAGGCAUAAGGGAGCUUGACUGUGAGACCUACAAGUCGAGCAGGGACGAAAGUCGGUCUUAGUGAUCUGACGGUACUGAGUGGAAAGGCCGUCACUCAACGGAUAAAAGUUACUCUAAGGAUAACAGGCUGAUCUCCCCCAAGAGUUCACAUCGACGGGGAGGUUUGGCACCUCGAUGUCGGCUCAUCGCAUCCUGGGGCGGUAGUACGUCCCAAGGGUUGGGCUGUUCGCCCAUGAAAGCGGUACGCGAGCUGGGUUCAGAACGUCGUGAGACAGUUCGGUCCAUAUCCGGUGUAGGCGUUAGAAUAUUGAGAGGAGCCUUCUUUAGUACGAGAGGACCGAGAAGGACAUACCUCUGGUGUACCAGUUGUCGUGCCAACGGUAAACGCUGGGUAGCUAUGUAUGGAGUGGAUAACCGCUGAAAGCAUCUAAGUGGGAAGCCCACCUCAAGAUAAGUAUUCUCACC